AGUGAACGCUGGCGGCAGGCCUAACACAUGCAAGUCGAGCGGAUGAAGGGAGCUUGCUCCUGGAUUCAGCGGCGGACGGGUGAGUAAUGCCUAGGAAUCUGCCUGGUAGUGGGGGAUAACGUCCGGAAACGGGCGCUAAUACCGCAUACGUCCUGAGGGAGAAAGGGGGGGAUCUUCGGACCUCACGCCAUCAGAUGAGCCUAGGUCGGAUUAGCUAGUUGGUGGGGUAAAGGCCUACCAAGGCGACGAUCCGUAACUGGUCUGAGAGGAUGAUCAGUCACACUGGAACUGAGACACGGUCCAGACUCCUACGGGAGGCAGCAGUGGGGAAUAUUGGACAAUGGGCGCAAGCCUGAUCCAGCCAUGCCGCGUGUGUGAAGAAGGUCUUCGGAUUGUAAAGCACUUUUAGUUGGGAGGAAGGGCAGUAAGUUAAUACCUUGCUGUUUUGACGUUACCAACAGAAUAAGCACCGGCUAACUUCGUG
Molecule: ribosomal RNA, 484 nt
Filed under: uncultured bacterium
Lineage: Bacteria
Description: partial 16S ribosomal RNA
Rfam family: Bacterial small subunit ribosomal RNA
Source: RNAcentral